This 484-nucleotide ribosomal RNA is filed under the name uncultured bacterium. RNAcentral's name for it is "partial 16S ribosomal RNA". It matches the Rfam family "Bacterial small subunit ribosomal RNA", at positions 30 to 507 of the family's 1533-position model. The record is from RNAcentral.
AUUGAACGCUGGCGGCAGGCCUAACACAUGCAAGUCGAGCGGAUGAAGGGAGCUUGCUCCUGGAUUCAGCGGCGGACGGGUGAGUAAUGCCUAGGAAUCUGCCUGGUAGUGGGGGAUAACGUCCGGAAACGGGCGCUAAUACCGCAUACGUCCUGAGGGAGAAAGUGGGGGAUCUUCGGACCUCACGCUAUCAGAUGAGCCUAGGUCGGAUUAGCUAGUUGGUGGGGUAAAGUCCUACCAAGGCGACGAUCCGUAACUGGUCUGAGAGGAUGAUCAGUCACCCUGGAACUGAGACACGGUCCAGACUCCUACGGGAGGCAGCAGUGGGGAAUAUUGGACACUGGGCGAAAGCCUGAUCCAGCCAUGCCGCGUGUGUGAAGAAGGUCUUCGGAUUGUAAAGCACUUUAAGUUGGGAGGAAGGGCAGUAAGUUAAUACCUUGCUGUUUUGACGUUACCAACAGAAUAAGCACCGGCUAACUUCGUG